UGCAAGUCGAACGGUGAAGCAGAGCUUGCUUUGUGGAUCAGUGGCGAACGGGUGAGUAACACGUGAGCAACCUGCCCCUGACUCUGGGAUAAGCGCUGGAAACGGCGUCUAAUACUGGAUAUGAGCCGCGAUCGCAUGGUCAGUAGUUGGAAAGAUUUUUCGGUCUGGGAUGGGCUCACGGCCUAUCAGCUUGUUGGUGAGGUAAUGGCUCACCAAGGCGUCGACGGGUAGCCGGCCUGAGAGGGUGACCGGCCACACUGGGACUGAGACACGGCCCAGACUCCUACGGGAGGCAGCAGUGGGGAAUAUUGCACAAUGGGC
This 321-nucleotide ribosomal RNA is filed under the name Microbacterium sp. LL83. RNAcentral's name for it is "bacterial SSU rRNA". It matches the Rfam family "Bacterial small subunit ribosomal RNA", at positions 56 to 376 of the family's 1533-position model. The record is from RNAcentral. Lineage: Bacteria; Bacillati; Actinomycetota; Actinomycetes; Micrococcales; Microbacteriaceae.